RNAcentral lists this ribosomal RNA (253 nucleotides) under uncultured bacterium. RNAcentral's name for it is "partial 16S ribosomal RNA". It matches the Rfam family "Bacterial small subunit ribosomal RNA", at positions 524 to 776 of the family's 1533-position model. The record is from RNAcentral.
UACGAAGGGGGCUAGCGUUGCUCGGAAUGACUGGGCGUAAAGGGCGUGUAGGCGGGAAGGAAAGUCAGAUGUGAAAUCCCUGGGCUCAACCCAGGAACUGCAUUUGAAACUCCCUUUCUUGAGUACCGGAGAGGAAGGUGGAAUUCCCGGUGUAGCGGUGAAAUGCGCAGAUAUCGGGAGGAACACCAAUGGCGAAGGCAGCUCGCUGGGACGUUACUGACGCUGAGACGCGAAAGCGUGGGGAGCAAACAGG